RNAcentral lists this ribosomal RNA (429 nucleotides) under Bacteroidota bacterium. Its description in RNAcentral is "Bacteroidetes bacterium partial 16S ribosomal RNA". It matches the Rfam family "Bacterial small subunit ribosomal RNA", at positions 355 to 776 of the family's 1533-position model. Lineage: Bacteria; Pseudomonadati; Bacteroidota. The record is from RNAcentral.
UAGGGAAUCUUCCGCAAUGGACGCAAGUCUGACGGAGCAACGCCGCGUGAGUGAAGAAGGAUUUCGGUUCGUAAAACUCUGUUGUUAGAGAAGAACAGCGCAUAGAGUAACUGUUAUGCGUGUGACGGUAUCUAACCAGAAAGCCACGGCUAACUACGUGCCAGCAGCCGCGGUAAUACGUAGGUGGCAAGCGUUGUCCGGAGUUAUUGGGCGUAAAGCGAGCGCAGGCGGUCAAUUAAGUCUGAUGUGAAAGCCCCCGGCUCAACCGGGGAGGGUCAUUGGAAACUGGUUGACUUGAGUGCAGAAGAGGAGAGUGGAAUUCCAUGUGUAGCGGUGAAAUGCGUAGAUAUAUGGAGGAACACCAGUGGCGAAGGCGACUCUCUGGUCUGUAACUGACGCUGAGGCUCGAAAGCGUGGGUAGCAAACAGG